CAAACCGACACUGGUGCGCGAGAUGAGUAUUCUAAGGCGCUUGAGAGAACUCAGGAGAAGGAACUCGGCAAAUUGACACCGUAACUUCGGAAGAAGGUGUGCCUUUAGUAGGUGAACCUGUACAUGGGGAGCCCAAUGAGGUUGCAAAAAAUCGGUGGCUGCGACUGUUUAAUAAAAACACAGCACUCUGCAAACACGAAAGUGGACGUAUAGGGUGUGACGCCUGCCCGGUGCUGGAAGAUUAAAUGAUGGGGUGCAAGCUCUUGAUUGAAGUCCCAGUAAACGGCGGCCGUAACUAUAACGGUCCUAAGGUAGCGAAAUUCCUUGUCGGGUAAGUUCCGACCUGCACGAAUGGCGUAACGAUGGCCACACUGUCUCCUCCUGAGACUCAGCGAAGUUGAAAUGUUUGUGAUGAUGCAAUCUCCCCGCGGAAAGACGGAAAGACCCCAUGAACCUUUACUGUAGCUUUGUAUUGGACUUUGAACAGAUCUGUGUAGGAUAGGUGGGAGGCUUUGAAGUGUGGUCGCUAGAUCGCAUGGAGCCAACGUUGAAAUACCACCCUGGUGUGUUUGAGGUUCUAACCUAGGCCCGUAAUCCGGGUCGGGGACAGUGCAUGGUAGGCAGUUUGACUGGGGCGGUCUCCUCCCAAAGCGUAACGGAGGAGUUCGAAGGUACGCUAGGUACGGUCGGACAUCGUGCUAAUAGUGCAAUGGCAUAAGCGUGCUUAACUGCGAGACUGACAAGUCGAGCAGAUGCGAAAGCAGGACAUAGUGAUCCGGUGGUUCUGUAUGGAAGGGCCAUCGCUCAACGGAUAAAAGGUACUCUGGGGAUAACAGGCUGAUACCGCCCAAGAGUUCAUAUCGACGGCGGUGUUUGGCACCUCGAUGUCGGCUCAUCUCAUCCUGGGGCUGUAGCCGGUCCCAAGGGUAUGGCUGUUCGCCAUUUAAAGAGGUACGUGAGCUGGGUUUAAAACGUCGUGAGACAGUUUGGUCCCUAUCUUCCGUGGGCGCUGCAGAUUUGAGGAAGCCUGCUCCUAGUACGAGAGGACCGGAGUGGACACACCUCUGGUGUAUCGGUUGUCACGCCAGUGGCAUUGCCGAGUAGCUAUGUGUGGAAGAGAUAACCGCUGAAAGCAUCUAAGCGGGAAACUCGUUUCAAGAUGAGAUCUGCCGGGGCCUUGAGCCCCCUAAAGAGUCGUUCAAGACCAGGACGUUGAUAGGUCGGGUGUGGAAGCGCAGUAAUGCGUUAAGCUAACCGAUACUAAUUGCUCGUGCGGCUUGACC
Molecule: ribosomal RNA, 1283 nt
Filed under: metagenome
Description: bacterial LSU rRNA
Rfam family: Bacterial large subunit ribosomal RNA
Source: RNAcentral